GGGAUCUGGGGGAGUGUCCCAGGGGCAGCAAGUCUGUAGGGGACGUCAAGGGGGCAGAGAGGCCAGAUUGGGGCACCCAGGGAGGCAGUGACCAGGGGGGUGGGCAGAGAGGCUAGGAGGGGCAUCUCAGGACAGAAAGCAGGGGCCGUGGGCAGACGUUCUCAAGGGGCAGCGUCUCACCCUUCCCGUCUGUUCCAGAUGCCUCCUGGAGAUGCCGGAUGGACCUGGGACAGGUGGGGGGACACAGGGUGUGGUCAGCACUGGCUCCGCCCAUGUGCGCAGAGGGCGGGGUCUCAGCCGAGGUUUGGGGGCGGCCGGGGUCCUCACCAGACCACAGGGAAGAGGAUGGCACCACAGCAGAUGAGGUCCACCAGGAACAGGAUCUCCUUCCAGAGCCCGUAGUCGCUGGCGCCCUCCUCACGGGACUCGAUGGCGAUACAGGACGUACUUAACGAAGGCCCAGCCUGAGCCGAUCAAAGCAAUGGUGAUGAAGAGGAGGGCGCCCUUCAGCCUGGGGGAGCGGAGGGACGGCAUGGCGAUGAAGUCAGGUGGGGCCCGGCCUCCUCUGCCCGCCUCCCGCCACCUGCCAGGCAGAGAGGGGCCACUCACAGGUGCGUGAUGUAGUGCAUGACCGCGAGACCCUCGAUGGGCUGGCCCUGGCUGUUGAUGAAGUAGUAGUUGAUCUGGGGGUGGACAGACGGAUGGACAGUCAGACAGAUGGACCUCCCACAAGCCCAGGGUCCGUAGACAUUUCGAGGGGUGGCCUGGUUGCUGUCUUCCUCCCAGCCCACCCCUCUGGCUCUGGCCCCAGGCUCUCACGCUGUGGAAGAGCAGAGAGAUGCUCUUGGUGAAGGCCAAGGCUGCCAUGAGCCAGUGGAUCUUGAAGACAUUGUACCUGGCGGGAGAGAAGGGGACACGGAGCAUCAGCUUGGGGCAGUGAUGGGGGCUCUGGCGAGGGGAGGUGGGGGACCCCCAGGGGCAAGGGCAUUACGUGUUCCUGCAGAGGACAGACACCCAGAAGAUGCCGGCAGCCAGGAAGCAGGCAGACAUGACCAUGUAGAGCUUGAAAAGGGGAAUCUCUGCGGCGGACAGGAAGCCCUCGGGGUUCUUCUCCCGGAUCAUCACCUGGUGUGGGGACAGAGCUUCCACUUCCUCCCACUGCCACUGGGGGACUGUCGGGAGCUAAACUUCUGGAGGAUGGUGGGCACUCCCUGGCACAGCUGCUCACCCUCCACUCACCGUGAUGUCAAAUGGAUGCUCCUUUCCAGGAACCGAGUUGUUGCAGUUGUGGAAGUUGAGGUUGUACUGGCCUUCCUCAGCCCUAGAGCCGAUCACCACGUGGAACUGGGUGAGGGGGAAAGGGGGG
This is a long non-coding RNA of Lemur catta (Ring-tailed lemur), 1366 nucleotides long. RefSeq lists it as uncharacterized. The record is from RefSeq and is a predicted model, not a curated record. The transcript is spliced from 3 exons. NCBI's taxonomy places the organism in Eukaryota, Metazoa, Chordata, Mammalia, Primates, Lemuridae.